This 497-nucleotide ribosomal RNA is filed under the name uncultured bacterium. RNAcentral describes it as "partial 16S ribosomal RNA". It matches the Rfam family "Bacterial small subunit ribosomal RNA", at positions 28 to 507 of the family's 1533-position model. The record is from RNAcentral.
GAUGAACGCUGGCGGCGUGCCUAAUACAUGCAAGUCGAGCGAACAGAUAAGGAGCUUGCUCCUUUGACGUUAGCGGCGGACGGGUGAGUAACACGUGGGUAACCUACCUAUAAGACUGGGAUAACUUCGGGAAACCGGAGCUAAUACCGGAUAACAUUUGGAACCGCAUGGUUCUAAAGUGAAAGAUGGUUUUGCUAUCACUUAUAGAUGGACCCGCGCCGUAUUAGCUAGUUGGUAAGGUAACGGCUUACCAAGGCGACGAUACGUAGCCGACCUGAGAGGGUGAUCGGCCACACUGGAACUGAGACACGGUCCAGACUCCUACGGGAGGCAGCAGUAGGGAAUCUUCCGCAAUAGGCGAAAGCCUGACGGAGCAACGCCGCGUGAGUGAAGAAGGGUUUCGGCUCGUAAAACUCUGUUAUUAGGGAAGAACAAAUGUGUAAGUAACUGUGCACGUCUUGACGGUGCCUAAUCAGAAAGCCACGGCUAACUACGUG